GAGGGUAUGGCUCAGUGGUAGAGCACACGCUUAGCAUGCAUGAGGUCCUGGGUUCAAUCCCCAGUACUUCUG
This 72-nucleotide transfer RNA is filed under the name Camelus bactrianus (Bactrian camel). It matches the Rfam family "tRNA". From Rfam's summary of the family: Transfer RNA (tRNA) molecules are approximately 80 nucleotides in length. Their secondary structure includes four short double-helical elements and three loops (D, anti-codon, and T loops). Further hydrogen bonds mediate the characteristic L-shaped molecular structure. tRNAs have two regions of fundamental functional importance: the anti-codon, which is responsible for specific mRNA codon recognition, and the 3' end, to which the tRNAs corresponding amino acid is attached (by aminoacyl-tRNA synthetases). tRNAs cope with the degeneracy of the genetic code in two manners: having more than one tRNA (with a specific anti-codon) for a particular amino acid; and 'wobble' base-pairing, i.e. permitting non-standard base-pairing at the 3rd anti-codon position. RNAcentral also lists the same sequence under 3 other names. Lineage: Eukaryota; Metazoa; Chordata; Mammalia; Artiodactyla; Camelidae. The record is from Rfam by way of RNAcentral.